Long non-coding RNA from Pyrus x bretschneideri (Chinese white pear), 1924 nucleotides. RefSeq lists it as uncharacterized. The transcript is spliced from 4 exons. The record is from RefSeq and is a predicted model, not a curated record. Lineage: Eukaryota; Viridiplantae; Streptophyta; Magnoliopsida; Rosales; Rosaceae.
GUUUUUUUUUAACAACUUCAAAAUUACAAAAAAAAAAAAAAAAGUUUCGAAACUAAACACUUUUGAACACAUUCAAUGACAAACUAUCAUUGACUCGUUACAACCGCGGGUAAUACCUAUAUAACCGUAUAACCUAACAGUAAAUGUUUUGGUGUAUUAAAAGCCAUAUUAAAAAAAAACUCACGGACUGAAUUAAAAGCCCAACUAACAGUAAAUAUUUUUUUCCAAACUUAUCCCUGACAUAACCUAACCAAGCCCAAGACCAUUCACUGUCUUUGCCUUUUUCUGUCGCAUAUGGGGCUUUUGGUGUUGCCUCAUUUUCCACACCCACCACUGUCAGUUAGUUUUUUUAUUUUUUAUUUUUGUUGUUUUGUCUAUGUGUGUCUGUGUCUGUGUUUUCAAAGUUGCUGAGUAAUUGUAUGUUCUGUCAGGGGUAAAUUUGGAAAAAACAUUUACGCUAUCAAGUCCUUUUUUUUUUUUUUGUUUUUUUAAUUUCGAACACUUGCGAUAAUAUUUUUUUUUUAAUUUUUACAUAUAUUAAGUUAAAUGGUUAAAUGAAUACUCGUAUAACCGUGAGUAAUAUCCAUAACCAAUGAAUAUCCGUUAUAAUCAUGAAUAAUACCCAUAGCCGUCCAUUUCAAUUUCACGGAUAAACGGUUAUACCCAUAACCGUUUAUUUGUCUAAACGGUUACCCAUAACCAUAACCGUAAAUUUUAAAUAGACGGAUAACCACAGUUAUCCAAAUUCAUAGUUAUUUUGCCCAUCCCCAGUACUUACUCAUUUUUUUUGUUUGCCCAGUUUGUCCAUUUUGAUUUUGUGAUUGCGUUCGAAUGGGGUUGAGUUGAUGGCCUCAAAUGACUCCUCAUCAUCUUCGGCAUCUUCUAGAACUAUUGCAUGGGAAAGUCUGCUUCAGAUGGAGUUCUCGUUUAAAUUGGGUUUUAUUAAGUUUUUCAUGUUUUUGUAGAAUUCUUAGUUUCAAUAUUUUUCUUUUGCUGUGAUUCCAUUUUAUCUGAAUCAUCAUUUAAUUUAUGAGAUUUUUAAUGUAAUUUUAUAUGAAUUUUAGUAAUUUUUCUGAGUUUUGUAUAAAUCGUCGAUUAAUUUCUGGAUGGUUAUUAAUUUUAUGUUUUUUAUUGAAUUUGUUUUCAGAAAACUACAAGUAAAACAUCUUUAAUUAGUCGUCAGUUUUCAUGUUUUGAACAUCGUUUAUGCAAGCUAUUAUAUCUCAAUGUUCGAAUUUUUGAACUUUGUCUUUAUUUUGUAGGGAUUUCUGUAUAGAGAAGAGAAUUGUUUUGUUUACGUCUCACUAAAACUGGCAAGUAAUAGAGGCAGUCAUACUCUCAUGCAGCUAUGCUUAGAAGGUGGUACUGAAAUUGGAUUUACACGAGGACAAAGAAAAGCAAGAGGCCUUGAAAGCAGUCUCCAGCCUUAGAGGCACAUUCAUCAGAAUCGGACUGAAUGGGAAUGGAAAUUUGUCCAUUUUUAUGUUUUUAUAGAAGAAGAAGAAGCUCAGAAGUCUGAUACGUAAAGCAACUCCAUCUGAAAGCGGAAGAAUCCAAAGGAACUGUGACCCAGUGGCUGGAUAGAAGAAAAGGACAACGCAUGCUCUCUCUCUCACAGUAGCUCCAUGUUCCUCUCCCCCCCAAACCUAAUGGCUUUGGCCCAAUUUGGAACCUGCUUGGAUCGGGACCCCUUGGAGAUUUGGAGCUCCAGAUGAGAAAAUUUUCCCCAAAUUGUAUUCAAUUCAUGUUGCUUCAUUUCGUUUUCCAUUUUUAAUUUGGAAUUGGUUGAUAUUUUAGGCGGGUAUCGCAUGUAUAACCAGAACAAUAUUUGUGUUGGAUUGGGUUCAAAUUGUCCAACUUUAUUAGCUAUUUGGUUGCCUGUGUAUUUGUAAUCUGAAUAAUAUGAAUUAGGGUUUUUCUGUUA